CCUACGGGUGGCAGCAGUAGGGAAUAUUGCUCAAUGGGGGAAACCCUGAAGCAGCAACGCCGCGUGGGGGAUGAAGUUUUUCGGAUUGUAAACUCCUUUUGUUAGAGAAGAUAAUGACGGUAUCUAACGAAUAAGCACCCGCUAACUCCGUUCCAGGAGCCGCGGUAAUACGGAGGGGGCAAGCGUUACUCGGAAUCAAUGGGCGGAAAGGGAGCGUAGGCGGGAUAGCAAGUCAGAAGUGAAAUCCUAGGGCUUAACCAUUGAACUGCAUUUGAAACUGUUAUUCUAGAGUAUGGGAGAGGUAGGUGGAAUUCUUGGUGUAGGGGUAAAAUCCGUAGAUAUUAAGAGGAAUACUCGUUGCGAAGGCGACCUGCUAGAACAUAACUGACGCUGAUGCGCGAAAGCGUGGGGAGCAAACAGGAUUAGAUACCCUUGUAGUC
This 440-nucleotide ribosomal RNA is filed under the name uncultured bacterium. RNAcentral describes it as "partial 16S ribosomal RNA". It matches the Rfam family "Bacterial small subunit ribosomal RNA", at positions 338 to 795 of the family's 1533-position model. The record is from RNAcentral.